RNAcentral lists this ribosomal RNA (301 nucleotides) under uncultured bacterium. Its description in RNAcentral is "partial 16S ribosomal RNA". It matches the Rfam family "Bacterial small subunit ribosomal RNA", at positions 508 to 808 of the family's 1533-position model. The record is from RNAcentral.
CAAGUCGCCACGGUAACACGUAGGUGGCAAGCGUUGUCCGGAAUUAUUGGGCGUAAAGGGCUCGCAGGCGGUUUCUUAAGUCUGAUGUGAAAGCCCCCGGCUCAACCGGGGAGGGUCAUUGGAAACUGGGAAACUUGAGUGCAGAAGAGGAGAGUGGAAUUCCACGUGUAGCGGUGAAAUGCGUAGAGAUGUGGAGGAACACCAGUGGCGAAGGCGACUCUCUAGUCUGUAACUGACGCUGAGGAGCGAAAGCGUGGGGAGCGAACAGGAUUAGAUACCCCCGUAGUCCCUGUCUCUUAUA